This 21-nucleotide non-coding RNA is filed under the name Arabidopsis thaliana (thale cress). Lineage: Eukaryota; Viridiplantae; Streptophyta; Magnoliopsida; Brassicales; Brassicaceae. The record is from RNAcentral.
CAUAUUCAAGGUUCGCAAUGG